GGCCUUGACGUUACCCGCAAAAGAAGCACCGGCUAACUCCGUGCCAGCAGCCGCGGUAAUACGGAGGGUGCAAGCGUUAAUCGGAAUUACUGGGCGUAAAGCGCACGUAGGCGGGCAAUUAAGUCGGAUGUGAAAUCCCCGGGCUUAACCUGGGAACUGCAUCCGAUACUGGUUGCCUAGAGUAUGGAAGAGGGAAGCGGAAUUCCAGGUGUAGCGGUGCUUCUUUUGCGGGUAACGUCAAGGCC
This 245-nucleotide ribosomal RNA is filed under the name uncultured Pseudomonadota bacterium. RNAcentral describes it as "uncultured proteobacterium partial 16S ribosomal RNA". It matches the Rfam family "Bacterial small subunit ribosomal RNA", at positions 465 to 716 of the family's 1533-position model. Lineage: Bacteria; Pseudomonadati; Pseudomonadota. The record is from RNAcentral.